CCGCACGUUGCUGCCUCUUUCGCUGCGGUCAGCGUGCCUUAGCUUCGUGCGUACUUAGUUUCCGUGUCGCGGUGACUGUUGGGCCCUCAUUUGUGAGCAGCCAAGAUGCGGGCGGCACAAGACCGUUGCGGUGCAGGCCGCCGGCCGUCAGCAGCACAGAAGCCUGGUGAGGGCUAGCACGCGGACCACAGCCAUGGACCUCCACCCGAGGACCUCCACCGUCACGGAUGGUAACACUGGAACUCAUUGCUGUUUGGUGAUGGAAGACACGUUCAUGUAUUGUUAAAGCAAAGUAGUAGUGGCUAAGCUCUUCCGGGCACCUUACAGGGGAUCUUCGCAUUUAAAUCUUGGUAAUGGGCAUUGUGAAUGUUAAUAUAGCACUGUUUUGAGUGGCUGGCCGCUAUUUCGUAUGAAGUUUUUAAUAAGCCAAAUAAAGUUUGGUUGAUGAGUAA
This is a long non-coding RNA of Microtus oregoni (creeping vole), 452 nucleotides long. RefSeq lists it as uncharacterized. The transcript is spliced from 3 exons. Lineage: Eukaryota; Metazoa; Chordata; Mammalia; Rodentia; Cricetidae. The record is from RefSeq and is a predicted model, not a curated record.